GGUAGCCUACGGGGGGCAGCAGUGAGGAAUAUUGGUCAAUGGUCGGGAGACUGAACCAGCCACGCCGCGUGAGGGAUGAAGGUACAGAGUAUCGUAAACCUCUUUUGUCAGGGAACAAAGGCGGGGACGUGUCCCCGGAUGAGUGUACCUGAAGAAAAAGCAUCGGCUAACUCCGUGCCAGCAGCCGCGGUAAUACGGAGGAUGUGAGCGUUAUCCGGGUUUAUUGGGUUUAAAGGGU
RNAcentral lists this ribosomal RNA (238 nucleotides) under uncultured bacterium. RNAcentral's name for it is "partial 16S ribosomal RNA". It matches the Rfam family "Bacterial small subunit ribosomal RNA", at positions 333 to 568 of the family's 1533-position model. The record is from RNAcentral.